RNAcentral lists this long non-coding RNA (2312 nucleotides) under Gossypium barbadense (sea-island cotton). RNAcentral describes it as "long non-coding RNA (GBAR_LNC012646)". The record is from RNAcentral. Lineage: Eukaryota; Viridiplantae; Streptophyta; Magnoliopsida; Malvales; Malvaceae.
CUCAAUCUUUUUUUCUCAUUUUUUAUUUUUCAGCAGGGACGGUGACUGAACGCAAAAGCAGAUCUGGAGGGAGAUGGGCAACUGGAGAGUGGAGAGAGGCUGAGAAGCCAAAUGGACGAGGGACGAGAGUGGUGGUUGCCUGGGUGGGUCUCGAGUUAGCUUUUCUUUUUCCGGCUUGCCCAACUUGAAGCAGUCCAGUUUUUUAAAAAAACUAGUCCGACCAAUUUUUAUUGGUUUUUUCGGUUUACAAUUUGCGGUUCAAUUGCCAUUUUUUCAAUUCUCGAUCUGAACAUUUUUUAUUAGUGUUUGGAUCAAUUCCCAAACGAUCAAUUAGUUCAGUUGGAUUCAAACAUCAUUUUUAGGUACAAAAGAAGAUUGAACUCCCAUGGGGAAACAACACAAUUAGCGGGGUAUUAACUGCUUUUAGAUUUAUUUUUUUUAAUUUAAUGACUGCACAUAUAUACUCCGCUAUUUGCUCACUCUCGUGAACAGCUCCUACCUCAACUUCUUCAUGCAUGUUCUCUUUGCUACGAGAACGGUAUAUGUUCGGCAUUUCUAACAAUUAGGUUGUUGAGUGUUUUGAUGUGUAAGGUUAUGAGAUGGGACGUCGUAGAUAGGUUACCAUAUAUCUCAACACUUAACUUAUUUUAGGAUUAAUAUGUGUUCUCUACGUAGAGUUUGUCUGCAUGGCGGUGCGAACCUAUCCUAUACAAAUUCAUGAAAGGAUAUGAACUCAUCACAUGCGAACCCAAGAUGCAAACUAUGUAAGCUAUGGGUCAGUCUAAGUCGGGUAACGGGUCGAUAAUAGCGAACACGAUAACAAUUUGUCCCCCAUCUAAUUCAAAGAAUAGUUAUAAACUGACUUUUUUGAAAACUUGACUUUGCGAAAUGGGGAAUAUCUGAGAAUGAAACUUAUCGCAUACGCUUUUCCUUUUAAAUUGUCAUGCGUUUCACCACGUCUUGAGGAGAGGUGCAGAUGUAUAAAGUUGAUUAUGUUUUUAUUCUCAGACAACGAAUCAUCAAGGUGUGAAAUUUUGUAAAAGGAGGUUAUUUUGACUCUAAAUAUUGAAUUGUUUGGAUUUGAAAUUUUUGAGAAGGAUAAUCGUGAUUUAGAGGUAAGUUUUUUAAAAUUUCCAAAUUGUCUUUGUAGUUAUUUUGAGUUUAGUUGGGCAUGAUAAUUAGGUCGAGAGGAGGUAGUCGUAUCAUUCAAGGUAAUCGUGAUGGUUCAGGGAGCGAGCCCUCACGACGCGUAAAGCAAAUGCUCUUGUGGAGGCAAAAGUGUAUGUUUGCACCAUCAAGCAUGAAGAGAUGAGUUGUCAGUUGGUCGCCCGGUGGAUUCAAAUACCCAAUUUUGCUUAUGAAUUCUCGAUUGUUAAAGGGUCGAGGCGACUUAGUGACACUGCCGAUGGAAGUUUUUUACUUCCUUCACACGUACUAGAAGUAAGUUUUCAUAUUCCACUCCACUCUGUCAUCUUCUUGACAAGUAUGGAAUAAUUCCAAGAUAGCUAUCCGACUUCUCAUGGUGGGUCGUGGUGGCCCACUUCAUUGAAUAUGGUCGGCAAGAAGAGGCGUUGUUGAUUUCUGUUUUCUAGAAUUUAUACUAACUCAAAGCCUGCAAUUGAGGAGGUUCUUUGGGCUUGUUUUUAUUUUACUUUUCACGAUGCUCAAUUGUUUCUAACUGGUAUUCAAACCUUCGACUGAAUCACUGUAAAUACAUACCGGUAAAGAAUAGAUUUAGAGUUGGUUUUGAUUUUCUUAUUGAAUGGUCCACACCUAGUAAGAGUGUGUGCUUGUGAAGAUAAGAAAUUAUAAUGAAGGCAAGGUGGGCUCAAUUCUGUAGGCUUCGUUGAGGUCCUGUAUUAAAUUUGGAGGAGGCGUUAACUGUUAGAAAUGUGUUUCACUACUGCCUCAUAGAUCUAAACCCUAAUGGAUGGCGGCCAGUUGAUGGUAACAAUGGUGUAGACAUUGUGUUAGUUUUGGCUGCGCAGUUCCCGCGGCUACAUGAAGCCACUGAUGAGAUAGGACUUAUUCUGUUAGGGAAAAAGGAGCUUACAAAUUAUUUUUAUACCUUUUGUAAAUUAAAACCUCAUCCAUAGUCCUCUAAACCUAUAGAGGAUUAAGAAGGUAGCACAAACCCCCUAUGAUUAUUGUUGGUGCUGAUAAUAGACUUGUUGGUGAUGCAGGUACAACCCGUGUUAUUGAAGAGACUUCGGGGGAAUUAACAAGUUUAUCCAGAAAGAUCGACAAAUACAUGGAUGUUCAAUCCUUUAUGCAAAAUGUUCAAUAGGGUCCUUUUGGUGCUUCUGUUCGGG